Molecule: small nucleolar RNA, 128 nt
Filed under: Sciurus vulgaris (Eurasian red squirrel)
Lineage: Eukaryota; Metazoa; Chordata; Mammalia; Rodentia; Sciuridae
Description: Small nucleolar RNA SNORA40 (ENSSVLG00005008417.1)
Rfam family: Small nucleolar RNA SNORA40
About the family: The snoRNA ACA 40 belongs to the H/ACA family of snoRNAs and guides the pseudouridylation of 28S rRNA subunit at position U4565. NB This family has a high threshold value to exclude a large number of closely related sequences that do not appear to have conserved H and ACA boxes, and may be pseudogenes.
Source: Rfam by way of RNAcentral
AGUACUUGUGUGUGUUUGUUUAACUUGUUGGACAAAGAUUUAUCUACUGAUGCAAACAAGUAAGCCCUUUUUUGCAACCAAAACUCAUUGUUCAGUAAGAGUUUGUGAUACAUGUAUGAAAAAAUAUU